CUACGGGAUGCUGCAGUAAGGAAUAUUGGUCAAUGGGCGCAAGCCUGAACCAGCCAUGCCGCGUGCAGGAUGACUGCCCUAUGGGUUGUAAACUGCUUCUAUAUGGGAAAAAAUACAGGGACGUGUCCUUGUUUGAUUGUACCAUACGAAUAAGGAUUGGCUAACUCCGUGCCAGCAGCCGCGGUAAUACGGAGGAUCCAAGCGUUAUCCGGAUUUAUUGGGUUUAAAGGGUGCGCAGGCUGAGAAAUAAGUCAGUGGUGAAAUCCUAUGGCUCAACCAUAGAACUGCCAUUGAAACUAUUUCACUAGAGUGCAGUUGAAGUGGGCGGAAUGUGUCAUGUAGCGGUGAAAUGCAUAGAUAUGACACAGAACACCGAUCGCGAAGGCAGCUCACUAAGCUGUAACUGACGCUCAUGCACGAAAGCGUGGGUAGCGAACAGGAUUAGAUACCCGCGUAGUC
Molecule: ribosomal RNA, 459 nt
Filed under: uncultured bacterium
Lineage: Bacteria
Description: partial 16S ribosomal RNA
Rfam family: Bacterial small subunit ribosomal RNA
Source: RNAcentral